This 234-nucleotide ribosomal RNA is filed under the name uncultured bacterium. Its description in RNAcentral is "partial 16S ribosomal RNA". It matches the Rfam family "Bacterial small subunit ribosomal RNA", at positions 524 to 756 of the family's 1533-position model. The record is from RNAcentral.
UACAGAGGUCUCAAGCGUUGUUCGGAUUCAUUGGGCGUAAAGGGUGUGUAGGUGGCGCCGUAAGUCGGGUGUGAAAUUUCGGAGCUUAACUCCGAAACUGCAUUCGAUACUGCGGUGCUUGAGGACUGGAGAGGAGACUGGAAUUCAUGGUGUAGCAGUGAAAUGCGUAGAGAUCAUGAGGAAGACCAGUGGCGAAGGCGGGUCUCGUGGACAGUUCCUGACACUGAGACACGA